GACAAACUGGGCUCAUUUUAAAGAACAAAAACUCACCGAUUAAAUCCAGCUUGUUUAAAUUCAAGCGGAAGUAAAAAUAAGCAGAAUAAAAGUGGAUUAUUUCCCUCGUUUAGUUUUAACGCUGCUCCUCAAACUUCCAAAACAACGACAUUUCAGUCCAUUUUAAAGAGUUGACCAAAUAUUUGAGCAAUAAUGUUCAGUAUCUCUGAAAUCAGUAAACGCCCACGAACAAAACAAACCAAUCAGCUUCUUUCUACGACAUAAAGUGACGAACCUAACGGACUUUUAACUCCAUCAGCCAAUCAGAGGAGCGCAUCUUUACGCGAGCUCACACUGGGUUUUAUUGACAGCUACUUUCAUCCAAUAGAAAGUCAGCACCGUGAAAACACUCUGAGUUUGGAGCCGGUAAAAUUACCUGUCUGACCAUAUAUGGAAGUUCAUGUAGUUGGACUUCCUGUGGUGGUGGGACACCCACAUAACAGAGAAAGUUUUUCAUCAGUCAAAAGAGACGUGAUUCAAUGAAACUAAAUCUGUCAAUCUUUAUCUAAAUAUGAACAACAUCUGCUUUUAGUCAACUUGAACAUUGAGGGACAUUUUUUCAGCGUCAUAAAGACAUUUCUCAUCAUUAUUUGGUCACUUUGGAGAGGUUUUAGAAAGCUCUGUAGUCAUCUGAUGGAGAUGCUCUGUACUGCACUUUCUGAAAUAUCUCACACACACUUCUGUCUAUCAACAUGAAAUUUGGUUCAGAUAUUGUCGACAAGUGGAGGGAGAGAUCCUGUGAGUUUCAGCCUGAUAGCUCUUAUUAUGACUGAGUUAUUGCAUUUGAAAUAUGAAGUAAAAGGAGAAGAAGAAGAGAGCUUCUGUUGUUUUCUGUUGAAUCUUUCAGCAGUUCAACAGCCUCAGAGCUGUAAGUAAGAUCAACACACCUGAGAAAACCUCUGAGAGUCUGUUUGACACUGAUUCAGUGGAAAUGUAUCAGCUCCUCAUGGUCUUUGUAUUAUACACAGUUUAAAAUGGGAGAGUAUUAAGAGACAGAGGUGCACAUCAUUAAAAUGAACCCUAAGAGAUUAAGGGACCAUCUGAAAGGCAGAACAGAACAUAUGUUAGUGUGUUUGUGUGAGAUCAUCAACUUAGCAGACAGGAAACACAAACAGUGAGUCAUUACCCAUCAAUCUAACACUGAUUUCACUAACGUACCAGUUUAAACUCACAUUUCAUCUGCUAUCAUUCAUUGUACAGAACAACAUAAUCUGCAGUGUCACAAACAUCAAGCCUGUUUGAUCCAGAGGGAAUCAGUCCAGAUGUGGCUGCAGUGCUGUGGGGACGAGGCCCUGCCAGAUGUGGAUUCUGACUGUUUGACUAAAAUCCAUCUGGGACUCUUAAACCAGAGUCAUCAGGAAAUAAUCAGGUGUUUUAUUAAAGUACUCACCAACAACAAGCUGAAUGUGGGAUGUUUCCUGACGACCUGGAAAAUCACAGGUGUAGUUUCCACUGUCGGCCAUCUUUGUAUCUCUGAUGGUUAUGGAGGCGUUUCCAUUCCUCAGCUCUUCUUGAAAAUAUGAGACACGACGUGCGAACUCUGGAUCCUGACGUGGUUGAGGAGCACGAUCAAACAGGAACAC
Lates calcarifer (barramundi perch) is the source of this 1622-nucleotide long non-coding RNA. RefSeq lists it as uncharacterized. The transcript is spliced from 3 exons. The record is from RefSeq and is a predicted model, not a curated record. NCBI's taxonomy places the organism in Eukaryota, Metazoa, Chordata, Actinopteri, Centropomidae.